Silurus meridionalis is the source of this 717-nucleotide long non-coding RNA. RefSeq lists it as uncharacterized. The record is from RefSeq and is a predicted model, not a curated record. The transcript has 4 exons. Lineage: Eukaryota; Metazoa; Chordata; Actinopteri; Siluriformes; Siluridae.
CUCCUAUUUACCUUCAAACUCUCAUCUACCGCUCUGACAUCUCCAUCUGUCUCCUAGAGAGAAACACAGCCUGUCUGCACUUCAUCCAUCACAUCUGAUCUGGUGUGUUAAACCAUUCCACAUGGAGCCCUGAUCCCUGUUGUUGCAGUUCCUGCUCUGCCCACUAGGUGUGCUCUAUAACUCUCUAGACGCUAAAGACGGAGUGUGUCUCAGUUCUCUGUGGAGUGGACCUAUAAAAGAAGGAAGAAGUGUUUGAAGUGAGGUGAAGAUGUGUGAAUGUGUGACGACGAGUCUCUGCUGUGUGAUUGGAUAAUUGCCUGGAGCGCCUGCUCACUGACCUUUCCAUCACCACAGGAGGUGUGUUCCUCAAGGAGCCUGUGGAACAGAGAAAAGCUACUGAUUCGGGGCCCGUCCCCUCUCCGUUUUGUAGGCAGUAAUCCGGCUGCAUGGGGCGGCCAUGACAUUUACCCAGGAAAUUACCAUCAGCCCAGCUGUGUCCUGACGCGAUGAGGGACAACUGACUGACUGACAGACGGCAGUCUGAAAGCCGUAACCACGGCAACGCCUGGUCUCUCCUGGACGGAGGGCUUCGAGUCUCUAAUUGGAAUUCACUCAGUUGGAUCCGAAUUAGAAUAAGAAAAGGCCUGAAAUGGAUUAUAACUUACUGUGUGUGUGUGUGUGUGUGUGUGUGUGUGUGUGUGUGUGUGUGUGUGUGUG